This 259-nucleotide ribosomal RNA is filed under the name bacterium M00.F.Ca.ET.191.01.1.1. RNAcentral's name for it is "partial 23S ribosomal RNA". It matches the Rfam family "Bacterial large subunit ribosomal RNA", at positions 1 to 258 of the family's 2925-position model. The record is from RNAcentral.
GUUAUAUGGUCAAGCGAAUAAGCGCACACGGUGGAUGCCUUGGCGGUCAGAGGCGAUGAAGGACGUGGCAGCCUGCGAAAAGUAUCGGGGAGCUGGCAACAAGCUUUGAUCCGGUAAUGUCCGAAUGGGGAAACCCACCCGCUUGCGGGUAUCCUGCAGUGAAUACAUAGCUGCUGGAAGCGAACCUGGUGAACUGAAAUAUCUAAGUAACCAGAGGAAAAGAAAUCAACCGAGAUUCCGUAAGUAGCGACGAGCGAAC